UCCAGUCGCCGUGUGUGCCGUAGAGGCUGCUGUCGCGGACGGAAGAAUGAAGCUGCUAGCAAAGAAAAAGCGAACGGCCAAGCAGUUAUGCUGUGUUCCUCGGUGCGUGCCAGCGAGAUGGAAGGACAGCGAUAUUUCCGUUCACGCAUUUCCCUCCGAGUCGAAAGGCUGAAGCCGCAGAACCAGGUGGAUCUCUAACAUCCGCAUCGGCAAGGCUGUGACGCUGACAGUGACUGUUUGCUCACGGCAUUUUGCACGGGAUAAUUUCUCCUUACCAGAUGUAGCAUGUCAAAGACAGCGGCUGAAAAAAAUGCAGUACCAACUGAAAACCUGCCAAGGACGUCAUGUUAUGAUGAGAACAAGGAUGCUCAUAUGAAAGAGCUUUCACUGGCAAGACUUCGCCGACGUGUGUAUCGGUCAGCCAGAGUAAGUUAAUUUGACUACAUGGUGCAGCACUUAUAUGCUUAUGGUACAUACACCAUGUCUACAAGCAUGCAAUAGAUGUCAACACCUUUUAAUGCAUUACAGAAUGAAUCAAGCAAAGAAACUGUUGCCUCCCCAUUAGAAGCAAAGGUGUUGCCCCAUGCACCUGUCAGCAUGACCACCAUGGUAAAUUGGCUGCCUGCAACUUGUGCACACAUUGCUUCACCACUAAUUCCUUGGGAUUAAACUCUGACAUUGCAGGACGAUCUCCCAUCCCCUGACAGCAACAGCAUGGACCAAAUAAGUGACAAAGGAAAUAUGGAAUGUGCUUGCCAACCUGGCCUCCGGACAUUAAUGGCAGAGUACUCAAGAGAAGAAAAAGACGUGGCAAAUUUCCUACUAGAAAUGGCUUCACGGACAAGGCUUACAGAAAGCAAGGCUGCCCAAGUGACAUCGGGUACUUUUCCACAGAAGUUUGUGAACACGAUAAAUAGUAGCAACGUAAACACAUUCACAGGCCUGCCAUCAUUCGAUGUUCUGAAUGCUCGUGUGACGUGCUACACAAAAAUUCAUCCACAUUCAGGACGGCACCAGUUAUGUGUAAAAACAAUUGCAUUGACAUUGGUGAAAUUGAAGCAUAUUUCCACUGCAUUCUUGAGUCACCUUUUUAACUGUUCUCUAACUACAUGUAGCAACAUAAUUGCAGAGACUGC
Molecule: non-coding RNA, 1136 nt
Organism: Dermacentor albipictus
Lineage: Eukaryota; Metazoa; Arthropoda; Arachnida; Ixodida; Ixodidae
Source: RefSeq, a predicted model, not a curated record